This 107-nucleotide small nuclear RNA is filed under the name Nicotiana sylvestris (wood tobacco). RNAcentral's name for it is "U5 spliceosomal RNA". It matches the Rfam family "U5 spliceosomal RNA". From Rfam's summary of the family: U5 RNA is a component of both types of known spliceosome. Lineage: Eukaryota; Viridiplantae; Streptophyta; Magnoliopsida; Solanales; Solanaceae. The record is from Rfam by way of RNAcentral.
AGCCACGCGGUGAGCACAAAGCGAACUAUUCUUUCGCCUUUUAACUAAAGAAUAUCAUGUGCUCGCCGCAAAUAGUGGCAUACGCCAAUUAUUUUAAGAGGGAUUCU